This 504-nucleotide ribosomal RNA is filed under the name uncultured bacterium. RNAcentral's name for it is "partial 16S ribosomal RNA". It matches the Rfam family "Bacterial small subunit ribosomal RNA", at positions 30 to 523 of the family's 1533-position model. The record is from RNAcentral.
AUUGAACGCUGGCGGCAUGCCUUACACAUGCAAGUCGAACGGCAGCAUGGAGAGCUUGCUCUCUGAUGGCGAGUGGCGAACGGGUGAGUAAUGCAUCGGAACGUACCGUGUAAUGGGGGAUAACGUAGCGAAAGUUACGCUAAUACCGCAUACGACCUGAGGGUGAAAGCAGGGGAUCGCAAGACCUUGCGUUAUACGAGCGGCCGAUGUCGGAUUAGCUAGUUGGUGAGGUAAAGGCUAACCAAGGCGACGAUCUGUAGCGGGUCUGAGAGGAUGGUCCGCCACACUGGGACUGAGACACGGCCCAGACUCCUACGGGAGGCAGCAGUGGGGAAUUUUGGACAAUGGGGGCAACCCUGAUCCAGCCAUGCCGCGUGAGUGAAGAAGGCCUUCGGGUUGUAAAGCUCUUUCGGCCGGGAAGAAAUCGCACAGGCUAAUACUCUGUGUGGAUGACGGUACCGGCAUAAGAAGCACCGGCUAACUACGUGCCAGCCGCCGCCGUAA